This is an RNA transcript of Poecilia latipinna (sailfin molly), 5267 nucleotides long. It is a transcript of the gene named vinculin, with no coding region annotated. The transcript is spliced from 25 exons. The record is from RefSeq and is a predicted model, not a curated record. Lineage: Eukaryota; Metazoa; Chordata; Actinopteri; Cyprinodontiformes; Poeciliidae.
UCAGUGCGCACCGAGCAGCCUGGCAGCUGUAUUCCUAGGCUCUGAUUGGGCGGAGGGCGGUGAUUCCUUCUGUCACGAUUUGGGUCGCUCCCACCGGAGGACACCGUCCGCUCGAGUCCAGCUUUCACCGAGGUACUCGGGAGAGGAGGCAGGAUUCCUCUGAAAGGGCUGGGCUGUCAGCUCGGUGUCUGUCUCCGAGGAGGAGAGGAGCAGGAGAGAGAGAGAGGGAAUAAAAGAUCAUCAGCGCUGGAGCUACCAGCUGCCUUUUAUUUUAUUUUUUUUCCUCCGUCGGGGCUGUGUUGAAAGUCUUUCACGAUGCCGGUGUUUCACACCAAGACCAUUGAGAGCAUCCUGGAGCCGGUGGCCCAGCAGAUCUCCCACCUGGUCAUCAUGCAUGAGGAGGGGGAGGUGGAUGGGAAAGCCAUCCCGGACCUGUCGGUGCCGGUGGCCGCGGUGCAGGCGGCUGUGAGCAACCUUGUGCGGGUGGGGAAGGAAACAGUUCAAACCACAGAGGACCAGGUGAUGAAGAGAGAUAUGCCUCCUGCUUUUAUUAAGGUGGAGAACUCGUGCUCGAAGCUCGUUCAGGCGGCUCAGAUGCUUAAGGCAGAUCCAUACUCUGUUCCUGCGAGGGAUUACCUGAUCGAUGGAUCCAGAGGGAUUCUGUCUGGAACGAGUGACCUACUCCUUACCUUUGAUGAAGCAGAGGUGCGUAAGAUAAUCCGUGUGUGUAAAGGUAUCCUCGAGUAUCUGACAGUAGCUGAGGUGGUGGAGACCAUGGAAGACCUCAUCACUUACACAAAAAAUCUCGGACCAGGCAUGACAAAGAUGUCAAAGAUGAUCGAGGAGCGGCAGCAGGAACUGACCCACCAAGAGCACCGACAGAUGCUCGUCAGCUCCAUGAACACCAUCAAGGAGCUGCUGCCCGUUCUCAUCUCAGCUAUAAAGAUUUUUGUGGCAACCAAAAGCAGCCGAGGAGCCGGCAUUGAGGAGGCUGAGAAGAACCGAAGGUUUACGUUUGAAAAGAUGAGCGCCGAAAUCAGCGAGAUCAUCAGAGUCUUACAGCUCACCACGUGGGACGAAGACGCCUGGGCAAACAAGAAGGACAUGGAGGCCCUGAAAAGAUCUCUGGCUUUGAUCGAAUCAAAGAUGGUGCAGGCCAAAAGCUGGCUCAAAGACCCACAAGGACAGCCAGGAGACCCUGGCGAGGUGGCGCUGCGUGUCAUUCUGGACGAAGCUGGUAAGGUGGGAGAGCUGUGCGCUGGGAGGGAGAGGAAAGACAUACUGGCGACCAGCAGGGCUCUGGGGCAGAUGACUGAUCAGAUUGGGGAUCUGCGUGUCAGAGGCCAGGGCCAGACUCCAGGCUGCAUGCAGCGCGCAGGCCAGUGCUUACAGGGCUUAGAUCUGCUCUUUGGCAAAGUGGACAGUGCUGCUCGGAGACUGGAGGCUCUAAUCAACGCGAAGCAGGCCAUUGCCAGGAGGCUGGAUGCUGCCCAGGCAUGGUUGGCCGAUCCUAAUGGUGGUCCUGAGGGAGAGGAGAACAUCCGAGCGCUUCUAGCGGAGGCCAAACGUAUCGCAGACCUCUGUGAAGACCCCAAGGAGAGGGACGACAUCCUGCGCUCCAUAAACGAGAUAGCAGGACUCACCGCCCGGCUCAUGGAGCUGCGCAAACAGGGUAAAGGCGACAGUCCAGAGGCCCGAGCUCUGGCAAAGCAGAUUGGAGCGGCUCUGCUGAACCUGCAGUCCAAGACCAACAGGGCGGUGGCCAACAUGAGACCAGCGAAGCCUGCUGUCACGCUGGAGGGUAAAAUGGAGCAGGCUCUGCGCUGGGUGAAUAAUCCCGGGGUGGAUGACAGAGGCGUAGAGUGUGAGAGGAUAGAGUGGAACACAGGCCAGGCAGCAAUCAGAGGAAUGGUUGGAGAAGGGAAGAGGCUGGCGGGAGGCCUGCUGGGUCCAUACCGACAGGACAUGGUCGGGCGCUGCGACCGAACAGAGGGGCUGAUGACAGCUUUAGCAGACAUGGCGAACAGGGGAGAGGCUGAGGCUCCUCAUGCACGAGCCACAGCGGCACAACUGCAGGACACCCUCAAGGACCUGAGGCAGCAUAUGCAGGAGGUCAUGACCCAGGAGGUAUCCGAUGUUUUCAGCGACACCACCACGCCCGUCAAGCUGCUGGCGGUGGCUGCAACUGCUCCUCCUGAUGCGCCCAACAGGCAGGAGGUCUUCGAAGAACGUGCAGGGAACUUUGAAACCCACGCGGGACGACUGGGAGCAACCGCAGAGAAGGCCGCCGCCGUGGGAACAGCGAAUAAGAGCACCGUGGAGGGAAUUCAUGCUGCCGUGAAACACGCCAGGGAGCUGACGCCGCAGGUGACCUCCGCUGCUCGGAUCCUGCUAAAGAAUCCAGGAAACAAAGCGGCCUAUGAGCACUUUGACACCAUGAAGAACCAGUGGAUUGACAAUGUGGAGAGACUGACCGGUCUGGUCGAUGAAGCCAUAGACACCAAAUCCUUGUUGGAUGCUUCUGAGGAAGCCAUUAAAAAAGACAUUGACAAGUGCCGAGUUGCCAUGGCAAACGUUCAGCCCCAAAUGCUCGUUGCCGGGGCAACGAGCAUAGCGAGACGAGCUAACCGGGUCUUGUUGGUGGCCAAGAGGGAAGUGGAGAACUCUGAAGAUCCCCGGUUCAGAGAUACCGUAAAACAUGCGUCUGACAUCCUCUCACACACCAUCUCACCCAUGGUGAUGGACGCCAAGGCUGUGGCCGGGAACAUACAAGACAAAGGUCUACAGAAAGCAUAUUUGGACUCUUGUCAAAGGAUCUUGGCUGCAGUGGGAAAAGUCAGAGAAGCCUUCCAGCCUCAGGAACCAGACUUCCCGCCUCCGCCUCCUGACCUGGACCAGCUCCAUGUUAGCGACGAGCAGGCUCCGCCUAAACCCCCACUGCCGGAGGGCGAGGUGCCUCCGCCCCGUCCCCCUCCCCCGGAGGAGAAGGACGAGGAGUUCCCGGAGCAAAAGGUCGGCGAGGUGCUCAGCGAACCCAUGAUGGUGGCGGCCAGGCAGCUGCACGACGAAGCGCGCAAGUGGUCAAGCAAACCUGAGGAUGAGGAGGCAGUAGAGGAGAGGGAGGUAGAUGAUGAAGAUGAGUUUACUGAUGGUGAGGAUGACUAUGAGCCAGAGCUGCUGAUGAUGCCGUCCAACCAGCCUGUCAAUCAGCCCAUUCUGGCAGCUGCCCAGUCUCUCCACCAGGAGGCUCGCAAGUGGUCCAGCAAGGGUAAUGACAUCAUAGCAGCAGCCAAGCGGAUGGCUCUGCUGAUGGCUGAAAUGUCUCGGCUGGUGCGUGGCGGGAGCGGAAACAAGCGAGCGCUGAUUCAGUGCGCAAAAGACAUCGCCAAGGCCUCGGAUGAGGUGACGAGACUGGCUAAAGAAGUGGCCAAGCAGUGCACAGACAGACGCAUCAGGACGAACCUGCUGCAGGUCUGUGAACGAAUUCCCACCAUCAGCACUCAGCUGAAGAUCCUUUCCACCGUCAAAGCUACCAUGCUGGGACGAACAAACAUUAGUGAAGAGGAGUCAGAGCAGGCCACGGAGAUGCUGGUCCACAAUGCCCAGAAUUUGAUGCAGUCCGUAAAGGAGACGGUGCGAGAAGCAGAAGCUGCCUCCAUUAAGAUCCGCACAGAUGCAGGAUUCACCCUCCGCUGGGUGCGCAAGACGCCUUGGUACCAAUGAACUUACCUGCCCUCGCCGAGUAAAAGUAGCAACGGCCGCUCUCAUUUUGAGCAGGCGUAUCGAGGGGAAACUGCAGGAUUUUGAGCCAUUCUCCCCUGUAGUUUUAGGCAGGAGUCUUUGAUUUGUUACCAUGCAGGUUUCAUUUAUGGGUGGGAAUUUAGCUUGGCUCGCUUUGGUCCUCAACUGUGGAAACACACAGGUCUAUCAGGAGACUUUUUAAUAUAUAUUUUUGGUAUUUUGGGUUAUUAGACUUUAUCUAAAUCCUAGGUAUAUAUUUUUUGCAUGACUCAUUUUCUAUUUUCUAACAGCAGAUUCUGACAUGGAGACUCUCAACGCUUAGAGGAUGUUUGAAAUUUGCAUUGUUUUUCAGUCCUGGUUUUGUAAUGUAUGUUGUAUAUACAAUAAUUGUCUGCUUCAUAGAGGAUUCACCAAGUUUGAGACUAAAAUGAAGAGUCUUGAGUGAGCUUCAUGUUUACUUUCAGUCAUCUGAAAAUUUAUGAAAUCAACAGAGGUGCAUCAUCACUGUUGCCACUGGUGAUGUUUAUAUUUCAGUAACGAAAAGAUCUUGUGGGUUUAAAAAUAAAAAAAUGGUUAUUAAAAGUUAGUAACAUCUAAAAAGGUGGCAGUAUUGAUUUGUGAGAAAGUGAAGUUUAGCUGAUUAACAUGCCUUUACUUUUAUGAACUUUUACAUUUAAUGAUGCCAAAGGAUUUAUUUUGCAUUAUUUACAAGUCCCUUUGAAUUGUUUGAACACUCAAAAUCCAGGUUAUUAUAAAAAAAAAUAAUGCAGUUUCAUUAAAGAUGCUGUAGUAAUGGUUGAUGUUUGUUACUAGCAAAAAAAAACUCAAAAAACUAAGCUUUUUGAAUGUUUUCUCUGCUUUGCAUUUUUUAUCUAAUUGUAGUUCUUUUGUGGCUGCAUUCUGCAACAGUUGAACUGUUUGGGAUUUACAGUAUCAGAGCAAACGUAGCUUUUAGCCGUCCCAAUCUGAGUUCUCUGAUGCAAUUUUUCUUUUUACUUUUUUUUUUUUUUUUUUAGAUGACCCCGGUGGUUUUGAGAAGUAGUUCUGUAAUAACCAGAGCAACAAACUAUAUUUUUUAAAGAUUUAAACAUUUAAAUAAUCGUUAGUGGUUUAAGUUUGUUAAUUAAAAGAAGCUGAAAGAAAAAACUGAUGUCACAUACAGACCCAGUCAGAAGUUUACUUGCACUCAUCAGUAUAAAUGUCAUUCUUGCUCUUGACAAUUUAUUUGAUCUAGUUUUGUUUUUUGUUUUUUUUGUUUUUUUCAGACAACUUUAAUGGCUUUUAAGAUAAGAAUCAACUGCACAAGCUUGAGUCUAUCUUGCACUCUUUUUCUUUUUAAAAGCCCCACCUUACCUCCUCCAAACAUUCUUCUUUUUGUGCCAAAACUGCUCAGUAUUUGUCUCCCUAGACUUAUUUUCUUCAGAAAUCAUCAGGCUUCUUUCCUCUCAGCUGAUGUAAAACUACGGUGGUGUUACAAGAUGUUUUUGGCUUGAGGGUUCCUGUUUUUUUGGGAGGAUGAAAAGACA